RNAcentral lists this ribosomal RNA (484 nucleotides) under uncultured bacterium. RNAcentral describes it as "bacterial SSU rRNA". It matches the Rfam family "Bacterial small subunit ribosomal RNA", at positions 30 to 507 of the family's 1533-position model. The record is from RNAcentral.
AUUGAACGCUGGCGGCAUGCCUUACACAUGCAAGUCGAACGGCAGCGGGGACUUCGGUCCGCCGGCGAGUGGCGAACGGGUGAGUAAUGUAUCGGAACGUACCUUUCAGUGGGGGAUAACGUAGCGAAAGUUACGCUAAUACCGCAUAUUAAAAGAGCAGGAAAGCAGGGGAUCGCAAGACCUUGCGCUGAUUGAGCGGCCGAUAUCAGAUUAGCUAGUUGGUGGGGUAAAGGCCUACCAAGGCUACGAUCUGUAGCGGGUCUGAGAGGAUGAUCCGCCACACUGGGACUGAGACACGGCCCAGACUCCUACGGGAGGCAGCAGUGGGGAAUUUUGGACAAUGGGGGCAACCCUGAUCCAGCCAUGCCGCGUGAGUGAAGAAGGCCUUCGGGUUGUAAAGCUCUUUCGGCCGGGAAGAAAUCGCAUCAGCUAAUACCUGGUGUGGAUGACGGUUCCAGAGUAAGAAGCACCGGCUAACUACGUG